Molecule: ribosomal RNA, 722 nt
Filed under: uncultured bacterium
Lineage: Bacteria
Description: bacterial SSU rRNA
Rfam family: Bacterial small subunit ribosomal RNA
Source: RNAcentral
UNUUAAAAGUUCGGGGCUUAACCCCGUGAUGGGAUGGAAACUGCCNAUCUAGAGUAUCGGAGAGGAAAGUGGANUUCCUAGUGUAGCGGUGAAAUGCGUAGAUAUUAGGAAGAACACCAGUGGCGAAGGCGACUUUCUGGACGAAAACUGACGCUGAGGCGCGAAAGCCAGGGGAGCGAACGGGAUUAGAUACCCCGGUAGUCCUGGCCGUAAACGAUGGGUACUAGGUGUAGGAGGUAUCGACCCCUUCUGUGCCGGAGUUAACGCAAUAAGUACCCCGCCUGGGGAGUACGACCGCAAGGUUGAAACUCAAAGGAAUUGACGGGGGCCCGCACAAGCGGUGGAGUAUGUGGUUUAAUUCGACGCAACGCGAAGAACCUUACCAGGUCUUGACAUUGAUGGACAGAACCAGAGAUGGUUCCUCUUCUUCGGAAGCCAGAAAACAGGUGGUGCACGGUUGUCGUCAGCUCGUGUCGUGAGAUGUUGGGUUAAGUCCAGCAACGAGCGCAACCCCUAUCUUAUGUUGCCAGCACUUUGGGUGGGGACUCAUGAGAGACCGCCGCAGACAAUGCGGAGGAAGGCGGGGAUGACGUCAAAUCAUCAUGCCCCUUAUGACCUGGGCUACACACGUACUACAAUGGGAGUUAAUAGACGGAAGCGAGAUCGCGAGAUGGAGCAAACCCGAGAAACACUCUCUCAGUUCGGAUCGUAGGCUGCAACUC